Molecule: small nucleolar RNA, 104 nt
Organism: Manis pentadactyla (Chinese pangolin)
Lineage: Eukaryota; Metazoa; Chordata; Mammalia; Pholidota; Manidae
Product: small nucleolar RNA U13
Exons: 1
Source: RefSeq, a predicted model, not a curated record
AUCCUUUUGUAGUACAUAAGCAUGAUGAUUGGGUGUUCACACGUUUGCGUGAUGUGUGUCUCGCUCAAGCUUUUUUGCAACGUUGGUACGUUACCAUUCUGACU